RNAcentral lists this ribosomal RNA (402 nucleotides) under uncultured prokaryote. RNAcentral describes it as "bacterial SSU rRNA". It matches the Rfam family "Bacterial small subunit ribosomal RNA", at positions 355 to 774 of the family's 1533-position model. The record is from RNAcentral.
UAGGGAAUAUUAGUAAUGGGCGAAAGCCUGAACUAGCAACACCGCGUGUGCGAAGAAGGCCUUCGGGUUGUAAAGCACUUUUUGAGAGGAUGAGGAAGGACAGUACCUCCAGAAUAAGCCUCGGCUAACUACGUGCCAGCAGCCGCGGUAACACGUAGGAGGCAAGCGUUAUUCGGAUUUACUGGGCGUAAAGCGCGUGCAGGCGGUUCGGAAAGUUGGAUGUGAAAGCUCCUGGCUCAACUGGGAGAGGUCGUUCAAUACUUCCGGACUUGAGAGUGGGAGAGGGAGGUGGAAUUCCGGGUGUAGUGGUGAAAUGCGUAGAUAUCCGGAGGAACACCAGUGGCGAAAGCGGCCUCCUGGCCCAUUUCUGACGCUCAUACGCGAAAGCUAGGAUAGCAAACG